This is a non-coding RNA of Paramuricea clavata, 116 nucleotides long. NCBI's taxonomy places the organism in Eukaryota, Metazoa, Cnidaria, Anthozoa, Malacalcyonacea, Plexauridae. The record is from the annotation of a GenBank genome assembly.
AUUUUGCGCGCGGAGCGGAAUUUUUCUUUGUCUUGUGAUUUCUUGGGUGGAACAGAAAAUUCUUGGGUGAAUUAGAAAAGACAAAGAAAAAGUCCGCUCCGCGCGCAAAAUUCCGC